CUCACUCUCUCUUUGCCUGCUGCCAUCCAUGUUAAGAUAUGACUUGCUCCUCGUCUUCCGCCAUUAUUGUGAGGCCUCCCCAGCCAUGUGAAACUAGUUUUGCUCUUUUUGCCCAGGCUGCAAUGGCGUGAUCUUGGCUCACCGCAACCUCCGCCUCCCGGAUUCAAGCGAUUCUCCUGCCUCAGCCUCCCAAGUAGCUGGAAUUACAGAUAAAUGUUUCAGAAUGCUGCCACCAACCAUCCUGCAACCAUGAGUGGCAAGCCCAAGACCAAAAACCAAAUAUUGAGGAUGGCAAAGAAAAAAGAAAGAGACUGGACUGUUGGGGACAUCACUGAGCCACUUUGCCAAACCUGGAGUUGCCUACCUUCAAAAGUUUUGUUAUAUGACAUAAUUAAUCUUUACUGCUUUGCCACUUCUGGUGGAAUAUUUUAUUACUAUCACCAGAAGCAUUUCUUGGCUUCAAUAACACACAUACUCCAGUGUCACCUGCUUCAAGAGCACUCUACUCAUAAUUCUGACUAAUGUACAUUUCCACAUGUCUGACCCAAAGGAGGAAGAGGCAGAGCAAGACGGCUCAAUAGAAGCCUCCACUAAUUGUCCUCCCCACUGGAACACCAAAUUGAACAACUAUCCACACAAAGAAGCACCUUCGUAAGAACCAAAAAUCAGGUGCCAGACAGAAAGUCAUCUCUCUGCUCAACUGAGACAAAUGCAGAUUCAUUGAGCCAGACUAAGGCAUAAGUGACUAUUCCUCUAUGUUCCCCAACAUGUAAAUUGUGGAUUCAGUGAAAGGCUGAUUGAAGAGUCAGAAGAAUGUAACUUUUUGUCUCUUAUCUACCUGGAACCACACCUUAUCUACCUGGAACUGUCCCCUCCCCGCCCCCCCAAUCCCGCCCUGUUUUGAGUUGUCCUGCCUUUCUGGACCAAAUCAAUGCACAUCUUACACAUAUUGAUUGAUGUCUCAUAUCUCCCUAAAAUGUGUAAAAGUGAGCUGUACCCUGACCACCUUGAGCACAUGUUGCCAGGACACAGCCUCCUGAGGGUACAUCUUUAACCUUGGCAAAAUAAACUUUCUAAAUUGAUUAAGGCCUGUCUCAGACACUUUGAGUUGACAAUACACAAAAACUAAAAAGGAAGAAAUUAAAAGAUACCACCAGAGAAAAUCGCAUUCACUAAAAGGAAGACCACAAAACAACCAGAAAACAAAUAACAAAAUGGCAGGCAUAAGUCCUUACUUAUCAAAAAUAGCAUUGAAUGUAAAUGAAAUAAACUCUCCAAUCAAAAGACAUACCAUGGCUGAAUGGAUUUAAAAACAAGACCCAAUGAUCUUUUGCCUACAAGAAACACAUUUCACCUAUAAAUAUAUGUAUAGACUAAAAAUAAAGGGAUGGAAAAAUAUAUUCCCUGCAAGUGGAAACCAAAAAUGAGUAGGAAUAGCUAUACUUACAUCAGAUAAAAUAGAUUUCAAGACAAAUGCUACCAUGCCCAGUUAAAUGUUUUUUUUUUUUAAAGUGUUUGUAGAGACAGGGGUCUUGCUAAGUUGCCCAGGCUGGUCUUGAACUCCCGGUCUCAAGCCAUCUUCCUGCAUCAGCCUCCCAAAGUGCUAUAGGCAUGAGCUACUGGGCCUGCACUGUUUUUCUUUUAAUAUUUUAGAGACAUUGUUCUACUAUCUGCUGGCUUGCAUUGUUUACACUGAGAAUCUUCUGUAAUUCUUAUGUUUGUCCCUCUGUAUGUAAUAUGCCUUUUUUCUCCUGCAUUUUUAACAUUUUCUCUUUGCCACUAA
RNAcentral lists this long non-coding RNA (1783 nucleotides) under Homo sapiens (human). RNAcentral describes it as "HSALNT0367228". The record is from RNAcentral. Lineage: Eukaryota; Metazoa; Chordata; Mammalia; Primates; Hominidae.